This 305-nucleotide ribosomal RNA is filed under the name uncultured bacterium. RNAcentral describes it as "bacterial SSU rRNA". It matches the Rfam family "Bacterial small subunit ribosomal RNA", at positions 333 to 634 of the family's 1533-position model. The record is from RNAcentral.
CCCUUCCUACGGGACGCAGCAGUGAGGAAUAUUGGUCAAUGGGCGAGAGCCUGAACCAGCCAAGUCGCGUGAAGGAUGACGGCCCUACGGGUUGUAAACUUCUUUUGUCAGGGAGCAAUUGGGUCCACGCGUGGGCUUAGCGAGAGUACCUGAAGAAAAAGCAUCGGCUAACUCCGUGCCAGCAGCCGCGGUAAUACGGAGGAUACAAGCGUUAUCCGGAUUUAUUGGGUUUAAAGGGUGCGUAGGCGGUUUGAUAAGUUAGAGGUGAAAUACCGGUGUUCAACACCGGAACUGCCUCUAAUACU